This 649-nucleotide ribosomal RNA is filed under the name uncultured bacterium. Its description in RNAcentral is "bacterial SSU rRNA". It matches the Rfam family "Bacterial small subunit ribosomal RNA", at positions 1 to 645 of the family's 1533-position model. The record is from RNAcentral.
UAGAGUUUGAUCAUGGCUCAGAUUGAACGCUGGCGGCAGGCCUAACACAUGCAAGUCGAGCGGCAGCACAGGGGAACUUGUUCCCUGGGUGGCGAGCGGCGGACGGGUGAGUAAUGGCUGGGAACCUGCCCUGAUGUGGGGGAUAACAGUUGGAAACGACUGCUAAUACCGCAUGAUGUCUACGGACCAAAGAGGAGGACCUUCGGGCUUCUCGCGUCAGGAUGGGCCCAGUUGGGGUUAGCUAGUUGGUAGGGUAAUGGCCUACCAAGGCGACGAUCCCUAGCUGGUUUGAGAGGAUGAUCAGCCACACUGGAACUGAGACACGGUCCAGACUCCUACGGGAGGCAGCAGUGGGGAAUAUUGCACAAUGGGCGCAAGCCUGAUGCAGCCAUGCCGCGUGUGUGAAGAAGGCCUUCGGGUUGUAAAGCACUUUCAGCAGUGAGGAAGGUUACGUAGUUAAUACCUGCGUGAUUUGACGUUAGCUGCAGAAGAAGCACCGGCUAACUCCGUGCCAGCAGCCGCGGUAAUACGGAGGGUGCGAGCGUUAAUCGGAAUUACUGGGCGUAAAGCGCAUGCAGGCGGUCUGUUAAGCAAGAUGUGAAAGCCCCGGGCUUAACCUGGGAACCGCAUUUUGAACUGGCAGGCUAGA